This is a small nucleolar RNA of Lotus japonicus, 90 nucleotides long. The record is from RefSeq and is a predicted model, not a curated record. Lineage: Eukaryota; Viridiplantae; Streptophyta; Magnoliopsida; Fabales; Fabaceae.
UAUUGGCUGUGAGGAUAAUUAUUCAGCUUAUGCCAGUUCUGCUUCUGACAAAUCGUGAUUGAUAGAGCUGUAAUACACUCUGAGCCAUUU